AGUGAACGCUGGCGGUAGGCCUAACACAUGCAAGUCGAACGGCAGCACAGUAAGAGCUUGCUCUUACGGGUGGCGAGUGGCGGACGGGUGAGGAAUACAUCGGAAUCUACUUUUUCGUGGGGGAUAACGUAGGGAAACUUACGCUAAUACCGCAUACGACCUACGGGUGAAAGCAGGGGAUCUUCGGACCUUGCGCGAUUGAAUGAGCCGAUGUCGGAUUAGCUAGUCGGCGGGGUAAAGGCCCACCAAGGCGACGAUCCGUAGCUGGUCUGAGAGGAUGAUCAGCCACACUGGAACUGAGACACGGUCCAGACUCCUACGGGAGGCAGCAGUGGGGAAUACUGGACAAUGGGCGCAAGCCUGAUCCAGCCAUACCGCGUGGGUGAAGAAGGCCUUCGGGUUGUAAAGCCCUUUUGUUGGGAAAGAAAAGCAGCAGGUUAAUACCCCGCUGUUCUGACGGUACCCAAAGAAUAAGCACCGGCUAACUUCGUG
Molecule: ribosomal RNA, 492 nt
Filed under: uncultured bacterium
Lineage: Bacteria
Description: partial 16S ribosomal RNA
Rfam family: Bacterial small subunit ribosomal RNA
Source: RNAcentral